CUGAAUAACUCAGCUGAUCGCAUGGUCUCGCACCGGCGACGUAUCUUCCAAGUGUCUGCCUUAUCAACUUUUGAUGGUAGUUUAUGCGACUUCCAUGGCUGCAAGAGGUAAAGGAGAAAAAGGAUUCGACUCCGAUGAGGGAGCCUGAGAAACGGCUACCACAUCCAAGGAAGGCAGCAGGCGCGCAAAUUACCCAAUCUCGGAACGAGGAGGUAGUGACGAAAAAUAACGAGACGGUUCUCUAUGAGGCCCGUUAUCGGAAUGAGUACAAUUCAAACCUUUUAACGAGGAUCUACGAGAGGGCAAGUCUGGUGCCAGCAGCCGCGGUAAUUCCAGCUCUCGAAGUGUAUAUCAUUGUUGUUGCGGUUUAAAAA
This 374-nucleotide ribosomal RNA is filed under the name Nematoda sp. RNAcentral describes it as "SSU rRNA". It matches the Rfam family "Eukaryotic small subunit ribosomal RNA", at positions 252 to 626 of the family's 1831-position model. The record is from RNAcentral. Lineage: Eukaryota; Metazoa; Nematoda.